AUCUACAAAUUCAUAUGCAGUUGCAGAGAUGCAAAAGAGAUCAGAGUAAAAGUAUGAAAGGUUUUAGAAGUACCUAGUCUCUAGUAGCAUGCUCUGAUAGCUGUGUCCUCAUCUGCAUUUAAUUUUUCUUUUUAUGAUAGGGCUGAUAUUUUCAACAACUAAACACCCGAAUGUUCAGACCUUACCUCAGUCUAAGAGCUGGCUCCACAGUUGGUAGCAAUGGCCCUGUUAGGCAGACUGUCCCCCUCUUUGGGAACGGCAAGAAGCCCUGCUUGGAUGCAUGGAGUGGAUGGAUACUGACACCAAGGACAUUCAGAUUUUCUUUCCUAUACCUAUUUUCAUAAAACUUGGAAAGACAAACUAUUUGCAGCAUUUUUUAAAAACCACUUCUGCCAUUCUUACUUAGGUAAAUCCAGAGAUAGCACCUAAUGUCUUCAGAGGAGACAGAAGUUCAAGGAGUUAAAUGUCACAUUCAUACUCAGGUAGCAGAGAAGAAUAAAACACAUCAGGUUUGCUUCAUCUAUCCUAAGUGGUGCUUAGAGGUUCAGGAAAAAUGUCUCAAGUACAGGAUAUUAAUGAGCAAUAUUUACAAUGUAUUUUAAUAAAAGGGAUUUUUCUAGUUAACUCUGAGUUAAGCACAAACUUUUGUUAAUUGUUGGAAAUACCAUUAAGAUGUAUUUGUCUGUUUUUCUGCAUUGGCAAGUAAAGAACACCAAACAAGUAUU
Mandrillus leucophaeus (drill) is the source of this 725-nucleotide long non-coding RNA. RefSeq lists it as uncharacterized. The record is from RefSeq and is a predicted model, not a curated record. The transcript is spliced from 2 exons. NCBI's taxonomy places the organism in Eukaryota, Metazoa, Chordata, Mammalia, Primates, Cercopithecidae.